AGAGUUUGAUCAUGGCUCAGGACUAACGCUGGCGGCGUGCCUAACACAUGCAAGUCGAACGAAGUAGCAAUACUUAGUGGCAGACGGGUGAGUAACACGUAGUCAACCUACCUCAGCGUGGGGGAUAACUAGCCGAAAGGUUAGCUAAUACCGCAUACGAUCGCUAAGUGGCAUCAUUUGGCGAUGAAAGGAGCAAUCCGCGCAGAGACGGGACUGCGUCCCAUUAGUUAGUUGGUGGGGUAACGGCCUACCAAGGCGACGACGGGUAGCUGGCGUGAGAGCGUGGCCAGCCACACUGGGACUGAGACACUGGCCAGACACCUACGGGUGGCUGCAGUCGAGAAUCUUCGGCAAUGGACGCAAGUCUGACCGAGCGACGCCGCGUGCGGGAUGAAGGUCUUCGGAUUGUAAACCGCUGUCAGAGGGGAUGAAGUGCACGGGGGUUCUCCCCUGUGUUUGACAGAGCCUCAGAGGAAGCACGGGCUAAGUUCGUGCCAGCAGCCGCGGUAAUAC
Molecule: ribosomal RNA, 513 nt
Filed under: uncultured bacterium
Lineage: Bacteria
Description: bacterial SSU rRNA
Rfam family: Bacterial small subunit ribosomal RNA
Source: RNAcentral